AUCCGCUGUGCGCGUAGGAGUCUUGAGAAGGGCUGUCCCUAGUACGAGAGGACCGGGACGGACGAACCUCUGGUGUGCCAGUUGUCCUGCCAAGGGCAUGGCUGGUUGGCUACGUUCGGGAGGGAUAACCGCUGAAAGCAUCUAAGCGGGAAGCCUGCUUCGAGAUGAGGACUCCCACCCACUUGAUGGGGUAAGGCUCCCAGUAGACGACUGGGUUGAUAGGCCGGAUCUGGAAGCACGGUAACGUGUGGAGGUGACCGGUACUAAUAGGCCGAGGGCUUGUCCUCAGUUG
Molecule: ribosomal RNA, 292 nt
Filed under: Streptomyces sp. SID10815
Lineage: Bacteria; Bacillati; Actinomycetota; Actinomycetes; Kitasatosporales; Streptomycetaceae
Description: partial 23S ribosomal RNA
Rfam family: Bacterial large subunit ribosomal RNA
Source: RNAcentral